Long non-coding RNA from Rattus rattus (black rat), 168 nucleotides. RefSeq lists it as uncharacterized. The transcript is spliced from 3 exons. NCBI's taxonomy places the organism in Eukaryota, Metazoa, Chordata, Mammalia, Rodentia, Muridae. The record is from RefSeq and is a predicted model, not a curated record.
AUCCCCAAGGGCACCGGUGUCUUUAUUAUUUUUAGGACAUGGCAAGAUGGUGGAAACGGAAGAACUCGACAGCACGAAUACACACGGCAGGGUGGUGACGACAUCCUGUGCAUUUGAGGACCUGCAAUGAAACCAGAAGCCUACUGAAAGAAAAAGAACACAACUGAG